UACGAAGGGGGCUAGCGUUGCUCGGAAUCACUGGGCGUAAAGGGUGCGUAGGCGGGUCUUUUAAGUCAGGGGUGAAAUCCUGGAGCUCAACUCCAGAACUGCCUUUGAUACUGAAGAUCUUGAGUUCGGGAGAGGUGAGUGGAACUGCGAGUGUAGAGGUGAAAUUCGUAGAUAUUCGCAAGAACACCAGUGGCGAAGGCGGCUCACUGGCCCGAAACUGACGCUGAGGAGCGAAAGCGUGGGGAGCGAACAGG
This 254-nucleotide ribosomal RNA is filed under the name uncultured bacterium. Its description in RNAcentral is "partial 16S ribosomal RNA". It matches the Rfam family "Bacterial small subunit ribosomal RNA", at positions 524 to 776 of the family's 1533-position model. The record is from RNAcentral.